This 292-nucleotide ribosomal RNA is filed under the name uncultured bacterium. RNAcentral describes it as "partial 16S ribosomal RNA". It matches the Rfam family "Bacterial small subunit ribosomal RNA", at positions 505 to 796 of the family's 1533-position model. The record is from RNAcentral.
GUGUCAGCCGCCGCGGUAAGACGAAGGUGGCGAGCGUUGUUCGGAAUCACUGGGCAUAAAGCGCACGUAGGCGGCGGCGUAAGUCGGGUGUGAAAUCCCUCGGCCCAACCGAGGAACUGCGCCCGAUACUGCGUUGCUUGAGGAUCAGAGGGGUGCACGGAAUUUCCGGUGGAGCGGUGAAAUGCGUUGAUAUCGGAAGGAACGUCGGCGGCGAAAGCGGUGCACUGGCUGAUUUCUGACGCUGAGGUGCGAAAGCCAGGGGAGCAAACGGGAUUAGAUACCCUUGUAGUCC